GGUUGGGCGGUUUCCCUGUGCACCGAAACCACCAAGAUUUGAUGGCCCCCCAAAAAAGAAAUCAAAACAACUUCCUUCUGCCCAACCCCUGGGCUUGAACUUUAAAAAAGCCACUGACCAAUCUGAAGGUAACUGUGUUGUCUUGUGUAUCCAGCAUUCAGCAUCAAAGAUAUAUAAAUAAGAAAUCUAAUGCAUGUCUCUAUAUAAUAAUAUACAAUGACAAGGAGGAUAUAGGUUCUCCACAGACCCGACAUCUCAGGGCAAGUACAGUGCAAAUUCAAGUCAAAAUGGCAAUGGUUUCCUCCUCCAACACAUAGUAAACCCUUUUUCUUUCAUUGAAACAGAUUCAGUCCAGUUCCAUGCCCCUCCAACCCCCAUGACCACUUCAGGUCACCAAUCUGGAGCAGGCUAUGGAUGCUCAUCAUUGGGGCCUGCUUUUCAGCAUCCUGAAAACUCAUACAGAUUAAUACUGCAGCAUCUGAGGGAGUUGGCCAAAGAACUGAGGGAUGUGAAACAGCAGGUUUCUUUAAACACAGCCAUAUUACAGAGCCUGACAGCUGGAACCAACGUGGACAUGUCCAUCCCACCAGACGUCAUCCUCUGGAGGAUAGAAGUAUGCUGGAGGACAUUGAGAGAGAGCUUGGACAAAAUCUGGAAUUAACAGAGAAAUUGGUAAUUUAAAAAAAUCUGUUUUAUUUUAGAUACCCUUAUACCUAAUGCAGUGUGUGAAAUCUGCAUAUCCCUCUCUUUGAAGAGGCCCUUUGAAGAGCUUGAAGACAAGAUGGGGAGACAGGCAAUAACUUUGUCAUUGGCUUAUCAUAA
Esox lucius (northern pike) is the source of this 822-nucleotide long non-coding RNA. NCBI's taxonomy places the organism in Eukaryota, Metazoa, Chordata, Actinopteri, Esociformes, Esocidae. The record is from Ensembl.